Molecule: ribosomal RNA, 497 nt
Filed under: uncultured bacterium
Lineage: Bacteria
Description: partial 16S ribosomal RNA
Rfam family: Bacterial small subunit ribosomal RNA
Source: RNAcentral
GAUGAACGCUGGCGGCGUGCCUAAUACAUGCAAGUCGAGCGAACGGACGAGAAGCUUGCUCCUCUGACGUUAGCGGCGGACGGGUGAGUAACACGUGGAUAACCUACCUAUAAGACUGGGAUAACUUCGGGAAACCGUAGCUAAUACCGGAUAAUAUUUUGAACCGCAUGGUUCAAUAGUGAAAGACGGUUUUGCUGUCACUUAUAGAUGGAUCCGCGCUGCAUUAGCUAGUUGGUAAGGUAACGGCUUACCAAGGCAACGAUGCAUAGCCGACCUGAGAGGGUGAGCGGCCACACGGGAACUGAGACACGGUCCAGACUCCUACGGGAGGCAGCAGUAGGGAAUCUUCCGCAAUGGGCGAAAGCCUGACGGAGCAACGCCGCGUGAGUGAUGAAGGUCUUCGGAUCGUAAAACUCUGUUAUUAGGGAAGAACAUAUGUGUAAGUAACUAUGCACGUCUUGACGGUACCUAAUCAGAAAGCCACGGCUAACUACGUG